UUUUAAUUGAAGUCUGGUAUGAAUGAAAAUAUGGGAGAUAACUGUCUUAGCGUAUUCAUUCGAAUUUAUUUAGUAAGUGCAAAUACUUACAAACUUAAAAAAGACGAGAAGACCCUAGAAACUUGAGGUAGUUUUUGUUGGGGCGGCAGAAUUACAUUUAACUAAUUUUAAUAAACGUGACAUUUAAUUGAAAGAAUAAGUUACUCUAGGGAUAACAGCAU
This 221-nucleotide ribosomal RNA is filed under the name Helix cincta. Its description in RNAcentral is "partial 16S ribosomal RNA". The record is from RNAcentral. Lineage: Eukaryota; Metazoa; Mollusca; Gastropoda; Stylommatophora; Helicidae.